RNA transcript from Myotis brandtii (Brandt's bat), 2590 nucleotides. It is a transcript of the gene named tripartite motif containing 29, with no coding region annotated. Lineage: Eukaryota; Metazoa; Chordata; Mammalia; Chiroptera; Vespertilionidae. The record is from RefSeq and is a predicted model, not a curated record. The transcript has 11 exons.
CCACCGCUGCCUGUCCCACUGCCCGGCAGACGCCACGGAGAGGCUACCACCGCAGCCCCUGACCCUGAGACAGACCCGCCAAGCGCCUGCCAUGGACGCCGCCGAUGCCGCCCGGAGCAACGGGGCCAGCCCGGAGGCCAGGGAAGCCCGCAGCCUGCCAGGCCCCGUGGGCAGCCCUGAGAACGGGGCCAAGGCGGACAGUAAAGACGCCAAGACCACCAACGGGCACAGCGGGGAGGCGGCUGAGGGCAAGAGCCCGGGCAGCACCCCGAAGCCAGGGGAGGGGAAGAGCACCCUGUUCCUGGGGAGCGAGUGGCGGCGGCCCAUCAUCCAGUUCGUGGAGUCGGUGGACGACAAGGGCCCCAACUACUUCAGCAUGGACUCUGGGGACGGCAAGCGGUCCCCCUACGCUGGGCUGCAGCUGGGGGCCGCCAAGAAGCCACCGGUCACCUUCGCCGAGAAGGGGGAGCUGCGCAAGUCCAUCUUCUCGGAGCCCCGCAAGCCCGCCCUGGCCAUCGGGGAGCCCGGGGACGCCAGGAGGCACAGCUCCCCCCGGGCGGGCCCGGGCAGCCUGCCGCGCGCCAAGCCGGGCGCCGAGGAGGUCCUGUGCGACUCCUGCAUCGGCAACAAGCAGAAGGCGGUCAAGUCCUGCCUGGUGUGCCAGGCCUCCUUCUGCGAGCUGCACCUCAAGCCGCACCUGGAGGGCGCCGCCUUCCGCGACCACCCGCUGCUGGAGCCCAUCGGCGACUUCGAGGCCCGCAAGUGCCCGCUGCACGGCAAGACCAUGGAGCUCUUCUGCCAGACGGACCAGACCUGCAUCUGCUACCUGUGCAUGUUCCAGGAGCACAAGAACCACAGCACUGUGACCGUGGAGGAGGCCAAGGCCGAGAAGGAGACAGAGCUGUCCCUGCAGAAGGAGCAGCUGCAGCUCAAGGUCAUCGAGCUCGAGGACGAAGCAGACAAGUGGCAGAAGGAGAAGGACCGCAUCAAGAGCUUCACCACCAACGAGAAGGCCAUCUUGGAGCAGAGCUUCCGGGAGCUGGUGAGGGACCUGGAGAAGCAGAAGGAGGAGGUGCGGGCCGCGCUGGAGCAGCGGGAGCAGGACGCUGUGGGCCAGGUGAAGGUGAUCGUGGACGCCCUGGACCAGCGGGCCCAGGUGCUGCAGGAGGACAAGCAGACCCGGGAGCAGCUGCACAGCAUCAGCGACUCGGUGCUCUUCCUGCAGGAAUUUGGCGCUUUGAUGAGCAAUUACUCCCUGCCCCCGCCCCUGCCCAGCUACCGUGUGCUGCUGGAGGGGGAGGGCCUGGGGCAGGCGCUGGGCAACUGCAGGGACGACCUGCUGAACGUGUGCAUGCGCCACGUGGAGAAGAUGUGCAAGGCCGACCUGAGCCGCAGCUUCAUCGAGAGGAGCCACGCGGAGAACGGGGUUGACCAUCGCUACAUGAGCAACUAUGCUAGCAGCUACGGCAGUGACUGGAGCGCGCCCGACACCAUGAAGCGGUAUUCCAUGUACCUCACGCCCAAGGGGGGGGCCAGGACGUCGUACCAGCCCGUGUCCCCCAGCCGCCUCCCCAAGGACAUCAACCAGAAGAACUUCAAUAAUCUCUAUGGCACCAAAGGUAACUACACGUCGCGAGUCUGGGAGUACUCCUCCACCGUGCAGGGCCCCGAGGACCUGCCCCUGCCCGGGCUCCAAGGCAGCUCCUCCUUCUCUCUGAAAGCAGGCCCUGGGCGGCCCCCCUACCACUUCCCCACCUUGGGACAGGCCACCACAGAGUUCCCCAAGCCGGUGGACACCAAUGAGCUGUUUAAAAUUAGUCCCGGCUACCCCUCCCUCAUGCGGAGCCAGAGCCCCAAGGUCCAGCCCCAGACUUGGAAAUCUGGCAAACAGACUUUGCUGACCUGGCAGGAGAGGUCGCUGGCUCUGUCCUGAAAGGUGCUUCCUGAGUCCCGAGGAGGAGCCAGGAUGGAAGAGGAGGGGCUGAGACGCCGUGGUCCCUGCUGGGCUGGGGCGGGCGCAGGCCUCUCUCUACCGCCUCUGUCAGGAGAUUCAGGCAAAGGGAGCAGCAAACAUCCAAAGCCCUCGAGACCCUGAAGUGGUUUGGAGAAAUGGGUGGGGAUGGUGGGUGCACGGGACCAGACUGCUGGGCCUGGCGUCCCGGUUCCUCUACUUACCAGCUGUGACCGGGGCAAAUCGCUUAGCCUCGCAGCGCCUCGGUUUGUUCACCUGGAGAGUGGGCGUGAGAGCAGUAGCCCAGGUAACGGGUGGCGGCUGCAAUCCUACAAGUCCGUGUGUGAGCAGCGUGUGGCUCUGCGGAGUAGAGAGCCCUGCAGAGCGAGAGCUGCAAUGGCUGGGAGGCCCUGGGCCAUGGAGGGAAUUGGACGAGGGGCUGAGGUUCAAGCUCACCAACCAAUGGAGGGAAAUAAACUCUAAUUAGGAUUUGAACCUGGAAACUGACAUGGGCACCCGAUCCUGAUCACAGCAUAGAUCGAGCUUGCAGUCUCACCACCGGCCAUUCUACGUCAACAAAGGCAACGGGAUUGGCUCCAACGAGGCCCCGUGAGCUCCAGAGGGAACGAGGCACCCCCC